AUGCAUUCACUCGUACCUGAUCAGCAAGACGACACACAUGAUACCAGCAGAUAUAGGAAGCAGAAAGCGGUUGUCUCUCUCUUGCGUGGAGUUCAGAGUGACUUCAACUUCAGGCAGAUCAGAGGAUCUUCCAGCCACUACAUGACAGCGCUACAGCAGACCGGAUACAGAGUUCUCUCCACUUUCCCUAACACUGAUCCUGACACCAGGUCUGUACAUACACACACGCAUAAACAGUAUAGGUCUUUAUGUGAUGUUGAAGGAUAAUAAGUAUAUUAACACUCAUUUCGUGUUCUUGUCAUUUUACAUGGAGAGGAUUUUCUUUUCCUAAGAAAGCUAGUUAAUGUUGUCGCAUUGGACUAAAACUUACUGACUUCACUCACACAGAGUAUAACAACUUCCCGAACUUUUCCUUUUUUUGCUAAAUAUGUUUUUUUAAAUAAUUUUGGAACUGAUUGGUCCUGGUCCUCCUCAUUUAUCUGAUAUUAUGCACCUCCGUUAAUAAGUGAAUAUUGCUGAAAUUAUCCACAAAUAAUGCUUUUUCACUCAAAUGCAUAAGUUUUUUUUUUUACACAAAACCUGUGCUAAUUGACAAAAAGCAAGUUUACAACAAGAUUGAAUCCAAGGAUAAUUUACAAUUUUAUGAUUUACAAGCCAUUUUUAAAUGGUUGGUCAUUUUUGACUGUGAACACCAGAUUAGGUAUAGGAUUUUCAGCCCAGCACAAGGGGUAAUCUUGAUAUUCUCCACAGGUACAAGUGUCACAGUGUACCCAGACCUCCUCCUCCUCCUCCUCCUCUGUAACAAAAAGUCAUAGACGCACUAUGUGUGUCAUGAAUUUCAGCUUUGGCCUUGUGUGUUGUUGUUCAUCUUUGGAGCUUAGAUCGAACUUAAACUGACAAUUUAUUUAUCUGGAAUUGUGUCAAUAUAAAAAGACAUUAAAUGUAUAUUUUCUAUUCAAGACUUUGAGUGGUGU
RNAcentral lists this long non-coding RNA (974 nucleotides) under Carassius auratus (goldfish). RNAcentral describes it as "lncRNA (ENSCARG00000009420.1)". The record is from RNAcentral. Lineage: Eukaryota; Metazoa; Chordata; Actinopteri; Cypriniformes; Cyprinidae.